RNAcentral lists this ribosomal RNA (216 nucleotides) under Glomeromycotina sp. RNAcentral's name for it is "partial small subunit ribosomal RNA". The stretch from base 44 to 216 matches the Rfam family "Eukaryotic small subunit ribosomal RNA", at positions 690 to 864 of the family's 1831-position model. The record is from RNAcentral. Lineage: Eukaryota; Fungi; Glomeromycota.
UGGUCAGUAGGUUGGUCGUGCCACCGGUACGUACUGGUCUCGCUGAUUCCUCCUUCCUGAAGAACCGUAAUGCCAUUAAUUUGGUAUUGCGGGGAAACAGGACUGUUACUUUGAAAAAAUUAGAGUGUUUAAAGCAAGCUAACGCUUGAAUACAUUAGCAUGGAAUAAUGAAAUAGGACGAUCGAUCCUAUUUUGUUGGUUUCUAGGAUUGACGUA